This 440-nucleotide long non-coding RNA is filed under the name Homo sapiens (human). RNAcentral's name for it is "HSALNT0046995". The record is from RNAcentral. Lineage: Eukaryota; Metazoa; Chordata; Mammalia; Primates; Hominidae.
CUUUCAUCUUCCUUAGUUGUUUGGAUCCUUAAGCCUGCCUUGAAAGAAGAGGGAGAAGGCUUCAGGGGAAAUGCUCCCCGCGCUGACCCACAGGAUGGCUUCCUUCAACAAAUGCAGCCACCUUUGAUUGGCUGCCUGCUACAAGAGAAACAUCAGGAGGUACGUAUUGCCAUGGGGGGAACUGAAGAUGGAGGACCCCUCAUUUGUGGAAUUGGGAACGGGCUUUGGGUCACAUGAGGCUCAUCCCUGAUGAGCUAGAACGUGGAAGUUACCUGAAUCCAGAAACCGAUAUUAGGCUCUGUAAUGGACAUGCAGAGGAAGAAGGACCUGUUGCCACGUCUACAGAGGGGUCAGGAAAGACACACUUGGAAUGACCCUAAGAAACCAUGGGCAAGUCUCCAUUUUUUUCCCUCAGCCAAAUCUGUAUGCACUGGUACAGC